AUUGACGAGAGCUUUGGAAUAAUUGGACACCAUCAGACUUUCUCUCCUAGCACAGUCCAUAGCUUCCGAGGCUCCAGGACCUUCUCGUCCUUCUGCUUGUGCUAGUACUUCUAUCUGUAGCUAAGGCAGAUGUGGUCGAGGAUGUGCCCGUGGCCUUGAUCCUGAGACUCCUCAUCAUAUCUCUGACUCUUCUGAUUCUGAACCCUCU
This 208-nucleotide long non-coding RNA is filed under the name Elaeis guineensis (African oil palm). Its description in RNAcentral is "long non-coding RNA (EGUI_LNC050295)". The record is from RNAcentral. Lineage: Eukaryota; Viridiplantae; Streptophyta; Magnoliopsida; Arecales; Arecaceae.